UACCAGCUCUCCGAGUGGUAGGGAUGAUUAUUGGGCUUAAAGCGUCCGUAGCUGGCUUAGCAAAUCUCCUGUUAAAUUCAGCGACCUAAUCGUUGAUCCGCGGGAGAUACUACUAGGCUAGGAGGCGGGAGAGGUCGACGGUACUUUCGGGGUAGGGGUGAAAUCCUAUAAUCCCGGGAGGACCACCAGUGGCGAAGGCUGUCGACUAGAACGCGCUCGACGGUGAGGGACGAAAGCUGGGGUAGCGAACCGGAUUAGAUACCCGGGUAGUCCCAGCUGUAAACUAUGCGAGCUAGGUGUUGGGGUGGCUACGGGCCACUUCAGUGCCGCAGGAAAGCCAUUAAGCUCGCCGCCUGGGGAGUACGGCCGCAAGGCUGAAACUUAAAGGAAUUGGCGGGGGAGCACCACAAGGCGUGAAGCUUGCGGUUC
RNAcentral lists this ribosomal RNA (429 nucleotides) under uncultured archaeon. Its description in RNAcentral is "bacterial SSU rRNA". It matches the Rfam family "Archaeal small subunit ribosomal RNA", at positions 474 to 903 of the family's 1478-position model. The record is from RNAcentral.